CGGAAGUUCCUGAUUUCACGCUGUCAAGAAAAGCCUCUAGGAAGAGUAGUACUGCCCGUACCGCAAACCGACACAGGUAGAUGAGGAGAGAAUCCUAAGGUGAGCGAGAGAACUCUCGUUAAGGAACUCGGCAAAAUGACCCCGUAACUUCGGGAGAAGGGGUGCUCUAUUAGGGUGCAAGCCCGAGAGAGCCGCAGUGAAUAGGCCCAGGCGACUGUUUAGCAAAAACACAGGUCUCUGCAAAACCGUAAGGUGACGUAUAGGGGCUGACGCCUGCCCGGUGCUGGAAGGUUAAGAGGAGUGCUUAGCUUCGGCGAAGGUACGAAUUGAAGCCCCAGUAAACGGCGGCCGUAACUAUAACGGUCCUAAGGUAGCGAAAUUCCUUGUCGGGUAAGUUCCGACCCGCACGAAAGGCGCAACGAUCUGGGCACUGUCUCAACGAGAGACUCGGUGAAAUUAUAGUACCUGUGAAGAUGCAGGUUACCCGCGACAGGACGGAAAGACCCCGUGGAGCUUUACUGCAACCUGAUAUGGAAUGUUUGUACCGCUUGUACAGGAUAGGUAGGAGCCGAAGAGACGUGUGCGCUAGCAUACGAGGAGGCAAUGGUGGGAUACUACCCUGGCUGUAUGACCAUUCUAACCCGCCACGCUUAGCGCGUGGGGAGACAGUGUCAGGUGGGCAGUUUGACUGGGGCGGUCGCCUCCUAAAGAGUAACGGAGGCGCCCAAAGGUUCCC
This 736-nucleotide ribosomal RNA is filed under the name Listeria monocytogenes. RNAcentral describes it as "partial 23S ribosomal RNA". It matches the Rfam family "Bacterial large subunit ribosomal RNA", at positions 1585 to 2321 of the family's 2925-position model. The record is from RNAcentral. Lineage: Bacteria; Bacillati; Bacillota; Bacilli; Caryophanales; Listeriaceae.